Long non-coding RNA from Schistocerca cancellata (South American locust), 543 nucleotides. RefSeq lists it as uncharacterized. Lineage: Eukaryota; Metazoa; Arthropoda; Insecta; Orthoptera; Acrididae. The transcript has 2 exons. The record is from RefSeq and is a predicted model, not a curated record.
CGCCUUUUUAUCAAAAACAUGUCCUCUUGAAAAUACUUUGAGGUCUGGCCUUCUCACUGAGCAGAUUUUUAAAGAGCUGCGGUAUUUUGACCGUGCAAAGGUAGCAUAAUCAUUAGUCUCUUAAUUAGUGGCUGGAAUGAAUGGCUUGACGAGAAAUCAACUGUCUCUUAAUAAAUUUUUGAAUUUAACUUUUGAGUCAAAAGGCUUAAAUUUUUCUUUAGGACUAGAAGACCCUAUAGAGCUUAACAGUUUAUUUUUAUAUAGUUUUUUGUUUGUCUUUCUAUAUUUAAUGAUGAUGUUUUGUUGGGGUGACAUGAAGAAUAAAUAAACUCUUCAUUAUUAUAUCAUUUAUUUAUGUUUGUUGUUUUGAUCCAUAAUUUAUGAUCAUUAGAUUAAGUUACCUUAGGGAUAACAGCGUAAUUGUUUUUGAGAGCUCAUAUCGACAAAGCAGAUUGCGACCUCGAUGUUGGAUUAAGAAAAAUUUUGGGUGCAGUAGCCCAGUGAUUAGGUCUGUUCGACCUUUAAAUUCUUACAUGAUCUGAG